UCCCUGAUAGCUUGGUUGGUAAAGAAUCCGCCUGCAAUGCAGGAGAUCCCGGUUCGAAUCCUGGGUUGGGAA
Molecule: non-coding RNA, 72 nt
Organism: Bos taurus (domestic cattle)
Lineage: Eukaryota; Metazoa; Chordata; Mammalia; Artiodactyla; Bovidae
Source: Rfam